AGGACGAACGCUGGCGGCGUGCCUAAUACAUGCAAGUCGAACGGCUUUUCUAUGGAAGCUUGCUUCCACUGAGAAGAUAGUGGCGAACGGGUGAGUAACACGUGGGUAACCCGCCCAUAAGAGGGGGAUAACAUCCGGAAACGGGUGCUAAUACCGCAUAGUUUUCUUGAUCGCAUGAUCGGGAAAGGAAAGACGGCCUUUGUGCUGUCGCUUAUGGAUGGACCCGCGGCGUAUUAGUUAGUUGGUGAGGUAACGGCUCACCAAGACGAUGAUACGUAGCCGACCUGAGAGGGUGAUCGGCCACAUUGGGACUGAGACACGGCCCAAACUCCUACGGGAGGCAGCAGUAGGGAAUCUUCCGCAAUGGACGAAAGUCUGACGGAGCAACGCCGCGUGAGUGAAGAAAGGUUUUCGGAUCGUAAAACUCUGUUGUCAGAGAAGAACAAGUUGGAGAGUAACUGCUCCAGCCUUGACGGUAUCUGACCAGAAAGCCACGGCUAACUACGUGCCAGCAGCGGC
Molecule: ribosomal RNA, 519 nt
Filed under: uncultured bacterium
Lineage: Bacteria
Description: bacterial SSU rRNA
Rfam family: Bacterial small subunit ribosomal RNA
Source: RNAcentral